CACCGCCGGACGCCGCCGCCGCGCCUCCGCCAUCGCCGGAACCCCUCUCCUCACCAAAAUUUCCAGAUUUUCUUCUCUUCCUUCCCUCUUUCCAUUUCUCCAACCAAAAUCAAGAAAUUUAGCCAUUCACUCACCCAAAAACCCUAGAACCCGAAGCUAAAAUUGGGGUUUUUGUGAUUUCUUCUUUCCAAGCUCAAAUCAAGGCUACGGGUUUGACAAGGAUUUUUGGUGAAGAAGGCCAAGGAGGAGGAUUUGGCCGUGAGUUUUGAAGAAGAAAGGGUAAGGAAUGGGUUUUGGACAAACCCUAGAAUUUUUGGAAUUUAUUUGGUUGAUUUUGAUUUUAUGGAGCUAUUGUUGUUGUUGGAAAAUUGUGAAAAUUAGGUGUUUGAGGAUGGUUUAAUUAGUAGGAUUGUAUUAGCAUAAUUUUCAAAGUGUUGGAAUUUUUGUGUUGAUUGUUUUGGUGAUUGUUGUUGUGCAUUUUGACCAAAAGAAAAAGAAAAGGAAGAAGAAGAGAAAUUGCUUUAU
Long non-coding RNA from Rosa rugosa (rugosa rose), 525 nucleotides. RefSeq lists it as uncharacterized. The transcript is spliced from 3 exons. Lineage: Eukaryota; Viridiplantae; Streptophyta; Magnoliopsida; Rosales; Rosaceae. The record is from RefSeq and is a predicted model, not a curated record.